GUGCCAGCCGCCGCGGUAAUACGUAGGGUGCAAGCGUUAAUCGGAAUUACUGGGCGUAAAGCGUGCGCAGGCGGUUAUGCAAGACAGAUGUGAAAUCCCCGGGCUCAACCUGGGAACUGCAUUUGUGACUGCAUAGCUAGAGUGCGGCAGAGGGGGAUGGAAUUCCGCGUGUAGCAGUGAAAUGCGUAGAUAUGCGGAGGAACACCGAUGGCGAAGGCAAUCCCCUGGGCCUGCACUGACGCUCAUGCACGAAAGCGUGGGGAGCAAACAGGAUUAGAAACCCUAGUAGUCC
Molecule: ribosomal RNA, 292 nt
Filed under: uncultured bacterium
Lineage: Bacteria
Description: partial 16S ribosomal RNA
Rfam family: Bacterial small subunit ribosomal RNA
Source: RNAcentral